AGUCGGCGGAGGAAUGCCGUUAUUAGCUGCGGACUGGCUAGCAGUUCUUGCAUCUCUUCUUCCAAGUUUUACAUUCCAUGUGAGCCCUCCCAGCUACAAAUCAAAACCAGGAAUUAUUUGAAAAAAAGAAAAGAAAAUAUAACCAAGAUGCUUU
Molecule: long non-coding RNA, 154 nt
Organism: Hibiscus syriacus
Lineage: Eukaryota; Viridiplantae; Streptophyta; Magnoliopsida; Malvales; Malvaceae
Exons: 4
Source: RefSeq, a predicted model, not a curated record